RNAcentral lists this ribosomal RNA (500 nucleotides) under uncultured bacterium. Its description in RNAcentral is "bacterial SSU rRNA". It matches the Rfam family "Bacterial small subunit ribosomal RNA", at positions 30 to 518 of the family's 1533-position model. The record is from RNAcentral.
CGAACGCUGGCGGCGCGUCUUAAGCAUGCAAGUCGAACGGCAAGAGGUAGCAAUACCUCCUAGAGUGGCGGACUGGUGAGUAACACGUGGGUGACAUACCCUUACAGAUGGGGAUAGCUAUUAGAAAUAGUAGAUAAUACCGAAUACGAGCACAGGGGUUAGAGAUCUGUGAGGAAAGGAGCUAAGGCUCCGCUGAAGGAAUGCCUGCGGCCCAUUAGCUAGUUGGUGAGGUAAGAGCCCACCAAGGCGAUGAUGGGUAUCCCGGCCUUAGAGGGUGAACGGACACAUUGGGACUGAGAUACGGCCCAGACUCCUACGGGAGGCAGCAGCUAAGAAUAUUCCGCAAUGGACGAAAGUCUGACGGAGCGACGCCGCGUGGAUGAAGAAGGCCGGAAGGUUGUAAAAUCCUUUUGAAACUGAAGAAUAAGCGUUGUAGGGAAUGACAGCGUGGUGACAGUAGGUUUUGAAUAAGCAACGGCUAAUUACGUGCCAGCAGCGGC